AGGGUUCUUUCCUAGAUCCUUCAGAGAGAGCAUGGCCCUGCUGACACCUUGAUUUUGGAAUUCUGGCCUCCAAAGCUGUGAGAGAAUGAAUUUCUGUUGUUUUAAGUCACCAAUUUGUGGUACUUUGUUACAAUAGCCUUAGCAA
This 145-nucleotide microRNA precursor is filed under the name Chlorocebus sabaeus (green monkey). Its description in RNAcentral is "miRNA (ENSCSAG00000025189.1)". Lineage: Eukaryota; Metazoa; Chordata; Mammalia; Primates; Cercopithecidae. The record is from RNAcentral.